This 440-nucleotide ribosomal RNA is filed under the name uncultured bacterium. RNAcentral describes it as "partial 16S ribosomal RNA". It matches the Rfam family "Bacterial small subunit ribosomal RNA", at positions 338 to 795 of the family's 1533-position model. The record is from RNAcentral.
CCUACGGGGGGCAGCAGUGGGGAAUAUUGGACAAUGGGGGAAACCCUGAUCCAGCGACGCCGCGUGAGUGAAGAAGUAUUUCGGUACGUAAAGCUCUAUCAGCAGGAAAGAAAAUGACGGUACCUGACUAAGAAGCCCCGGCUAACUACGUGCCAGCAGCCGCGGUAAUACGUAGGGGGCAAGCGUUAUCCGGAUGUACUGGGUGUAAAGGGAGCGUAGACGGCAGCGCAAGUCGGGAGUGAAAUGCCGGGGCUCAACCCCGGAACUGCUCUGGAAACUGUGAAGCUGGAGUGCAGGAGAGGUAAGCGGAAUUCCUGGUGUAGCGGUGAAAUGCGUAGAUAUCAGGAGGAACACCGGCGGCGAAGGCGGAUUACUGGACUGUAACUGACGUUGAGGCUCGAAGGCGUGGGGAGCAAACAGGAUUAGAUACCCUUGUAGUC